Molecule: ribosomal RNA, 505 nt
Filed under: uncultured bacterium
Lineage: Bacteria
Description: partial 16S ribosomal RNA
Rfam family: Bacterial small subunit ribosomal RNA
Source: RNAcentral
GACGAACGCUGGCGGCGUGCCUAAUACAUGCAAGUCGAACGCACAGUUUAUACCGUAGCUUGCUCCACCAUAAACUGUGAGUUGCGAACGGGUGAGUAACGCGUAGGUAACCUGCCUGGUAGCGGGGGAUAACUAUUGGAAACGAUAGCUAAUACCGCAUAAUAUUGAUUAUUGCAUGAUAAUUGAUUGAAAGAUGCUAUUGCAUCACUACCAGAUGGACCUGCGUUGUAUUAGCUAGUAGGUGAGGUAACGGCUCACCUAGACGACGAUACAUAGCCGACCUGAGAGGGUGAUCGGCCACACUGGGACUGAGACACGGCCCAGACUCCUACGGGAGGCAGCAGUAGGGAAUCUUCGGCAAUGGACGAAAGUCUGACCGAGCAACGCCGCGUGAGUGAAGAAGGGUGUCGGAUCGUAAAGCUCUGUUGUAAGAGAAGAACGGGUGUGAGAGUGGAAAGUUCACACUGUGACGGUAUCUUAACAGAAAGGGACGGCUAACUACGUG